AUUCCUACGGGAGGCAGCAGUGGGGAAUCUUGCGCAAUGGGCGAAAGCCUGACACAGCAACGCCGCGUGCGGGAUGAAGGCCCUCGGGUCGUAAACCGCUUUCAGCAGGGAUGAAAUUGACAGUACCUGCAGAAGAAGCCCCGGCUAAAUACGUGCCAGCAGCCGCGGUAAUACGUAUGGGGCUAGCGUUAUCCGGAUUUAUUGGGCGUAAAGAGCGCGUAGGCGGUCUGUUAAGUCGGAUGUGAAAACCGGGGGCUCAACCCGCGGCCUGCAUCCGAAACUGGCAGACUUGAGUCUGGUAGAGGAAAGUGGAAUUCCUAGUGUAGCGGUGAAAUGCGCAGAUAUCAGGAGGAACACCGAUGGCGAAGGCAGGUCUCUGGGCAUUAACUGACGCUGAGGAGCGAAAGCAUGGGGAGCGAACAGGAUUAGAUACCCUGGUAGUCCAUGCCGUAAACGUUGGGCACUAGGUGUGGGGGACAUUCCACGUUUUCCGCGCCGUAGCUAACGCAUUAAGUGCCCCGCCUGGGGAGUACGGCCGCAAGGCUAAAACUCAAAGGAAUUGACGGAAU
Molecule: ribosomal RNA, 569 nt
Filed under: uncultured bacterium
Lineage: Bacteria
Description: bacterial SSU rRNA
Rfam family: Bacterial small subunit ribosomal RNA
Source: RNAcentral